This 253-nucleotide ribosomal RNA is filed under the name uncultured bacterium. RNAcentral describes it as "partial 16S ribosomal RNA". It matches the Rfam family "Bacterial small subunit ribosomal RNA", at positions 524 to 776 of the family's 1533-position model. The record is from RNAcentral.
UACGUAGGGGGCUAGCGUUGUCCGGAAUCAUUGGGCGUAAAGAGCGUGUAGGCGGCUCGGUAAGUCCGCUGUGAAAGUCCAGGGCUCAACCCUGGAAUGCCAGUGGAAACUGUCGAGCUUGAGUCCGGAAGAGGCGAGUGGAAUUCCUGGUGUAGCGGUGAAAUGCGCAGAUAUCAGGAGGAACACCAAUGGCGAAGGCAGCUCGCUGGGACGGUACUGACGCUGAGACGCGAAAGCGUGGGGAGCAAACAGG